Molecule: small nucleolar RNA, 105 nt
Filed under: Capsicum annuum
Lineage: Eukaryota; Viridiplantae; Streptophyta; Magnoliopsida; Solanales; Solanaceae
Description: Plant small nucleolar RNA R71
Rfam family: Plant small nucleolar RNA R71
About the family: R71 is a member of the C/D box family of snoRNAs containing the C (UGAUGA) and D (CUGA) box motifs. Multiple nearly identical copies of this snoRNA have been identified in Arabidopsis, and it is thought to function as a 2'-O-ribose methylation guide for 18S ribosomal RNA.
Source: Rfam by way of RNAcentral
ACUUCAUGAUUUGGACAUUGGACCAAUUUUCCAUUAAACUAUUCCCAUGCUUCAAACAAAGGCUCUCCAUUCAUUUGACAAAAAUUCACAAUCUCGUCUAGGUUU